RNAcentral lists this long non-coding RNA (697 nucleotides) under Rattus norvegicus (Norway rat). RNAcentral's name for it is "long non-coding RNA NONRATT018512". The record is from RNAcentral. Lineage: Eukaryota; Metazoa; Chordata; Mammalia; Rodentia; Muridae.
CAUUGGGGAACACUGAAAGGAACAGCAUUGGGGAGCACGCUGAAAGGAACAGCAUUGGGGCGCACGCUGAAAGGAACAGCAUUGGGGAGCACGCUGAAAGGAACAGCAUUGGGGAGCACGCUGAAAGGAACAGCAUUGGGGAGCACACUGAAAGGAACAGCAUUGGGGAACACUCUGAAAGGAACAGCAUUGGGGAACACGCUGAAAGGAACAGCAUUGGGGAACACGCUGAAAGGAACAGCAUUGGGGAACACGCUGAAAGGAACAGCAUUGGGGAACACUGAAAGGAACAGCACUGGGGAGCACACUGAAUGAACUGUAAAGCAGAGCGAGGUAGACUUAAGAGUGGUCAUCAAGAGGACCGUGAUAACUAAGACCACGAGACAGUUUUAGAUAACAAAGCUGCAGCCCUUUUGAUGCUGACAAAGAGUGUGGAUCUUGUGAAAGACGCUCAUGAAGAAAUGGAGCAGGUGAGGGCACUUACCCAUCUCUCAUGGAACCAACUUCAUGAGAACUGAUCACGAAGGCAGGAGUUCCCUGCAGCUUGACUGAAUAAUCCCUUGCUCCUGUCCUACCCAGCAUCUCCCACUGUGCUUGGCUGGUGUCUUAGCACCACCUCUGUUCCUUGCUGGACAAGCAGAAUGAGAAUGUUGGUUUUGUAGCUAAUAGUGAAGCAGGUGGCUGAUGGUGGUGGUGU